Molecule: non-coding RNA, 126 nt
Organism: Myotis lucifugus (little brown bat)
Lineage: Eukaryota; Metazoa; Chordata; Mammalia; Chiroptera; Vespertilionidae
Source: Rfam
CAUGCACCGGUGGGGUCCCUCAGCCUGGCCUGCAUCCUCUCAAAAUCUGGGACCCCUCAGGGGAAGUUGGAGAGCUGGUUUUGGCCUGAUUCUGCAGGCCAGGCUGAGGGACCCCACUGGUGCACG